GACGAACGCUGGCGGCGUGCUUAACACAUGCAAGUCGAACGGAAAGGCCCUGCUUUUGUGGGGUGCUCGAGUGGCGAACGGGUGAGUAACACGUGAGUAACCUGCCCUUGACUUUGGGAUAACUUCAGGAAACUGGGGCUAAUACCGGAUAGGAGCUCCUGCUGCAUGGUGGGGGUUGGCAAGUUUCGGCGGUUGGGGAUGGACUCGCGGCUUAUCAGCUUGUUGGUGGGGUGGUGGCUUACCAAGGCUUUGACGGGUAGCCGGCCUGAGAGGGGGACCGGCCACAUUGGGACUGAGAUACGGCCCAGACUCCUACGGGAGGCAGCAGUGGGGAAUAUUGCACAAGGGGCGGAAGCCGGAGGCAGCAACGCCGCGUGCGGGAUGACGGCCUUCGGGUGGUAAACCGCUUUCGCCUGUGACGAAGCGGGAGUGACGGUAAUGGGUAAAGAAGCACCGGCUAACUACGUG
Molecule: ribosomal RNA, 468 nt
Filed under: uncultured bacterium
Lineage: Bacteria
Description: partial 16S ribosomal RNA
Rfam family: Bacterial small subunit ribosomal RNA
Source: RNAcentral